Molecule: ribosomal RNA, 347 nt
Filed under: uncultured bacterium
Lineage: Bacteria
Description: bacterial SSU rRNA
Rfam family: Bacterial small subunit ribosomal RNA
Source: RNAcentral
GAAAGUCGAGCAUAUACCGUUCGAAAGGCGGAGCAAUUCUCGAUAGUCCCUCCGGGGUAAAGGAGCAAUCCGCUUUUUGAGAGGCCUGUGGCGCAUCAGGUAGUUGGUAGGGUAAUGGCCUACCAAGCCUACGACGCGUAGGGGAGCUGAGAGGCUGACCCCCACCGAUGGAACUGAGACACGGUCCAUACACCUACGGGUGGCUGCAGUCGAGAAUAUUUGGCAAUGGGCGCAAGCCUGACCAUGCGACGCCGCGUGGUUGAUGAAGUCCUUCGGGACGUAAAGACCUUUUAUGAGGGAGGAAGUAAUUGACGUUACCUCAUGAAUAAGGGGCUCCUAACUCUGUG